This 253-nucleotide ribosomal RNA is filed under the name uncultured bacterium. Its description in RNAcentral is "partial 16S ribosomal RNA". It matches the Rfam family "Bacterial small subunit ribosomal RNA", at positions 524 to 776 of the family's 1533-position model. The record is from RNAcentral.
GACAGAGGGUGCAAACGUUGUUCGGAUUUACUGGGCGUAAAGCGCGCGUAGGCGGCUUUGCAAGUCGGGUGUGAAAUCCCCAGGCUUAACCUGGGAACUGCAUUCGAGACUGCAUUGCUAGAGUAUGGGAGAGGGAAGUGGAAUUUCAGGUGUAGCGGUGAAAUGCGUAGAUAUCUGAAGGAACAUCAGUGGCGAAAGCGACUUCCUGGACCAAUACUGACGCUCAUGUGCGAAAGCGUGGGGAGCAAACAGG